GGAGAGGUGGCAGAGUGGCCGAAUGCGCCGGAUUGCUAAUCCGGUAAUCGUGAAAACGAUUCGGGGGUUCGAAUCCCCCCCUUUCCG
RNAcentral lists this transfer RNA (87 nucleotides) under Planctomycetaceae bacterium. RNAcentral's name for it is "tRNA-Ser". It matches the Rfam family "tRNA". From Rfam's summary of the family: Transfer RNA (tRNA) molecules are approximately 80 nucleotides in length. Their secondary structure includes four short double-helical elements and three loops (D, anti-codon, and T loops). Lineage: Bacteria; Pseudomonadati; Planctomycetota; Planctomycetia; Planctomycetales; Planctomycetaceae. RNAcentral also lists the same sequence under 1 other name. The record is from RNAcentral.